This 83-nucleotide transfer RNA is filed under the name Clostridia bacterium. RNAcentral describes it as "tRNA-Leu". It matches the Rfam family "tRNA". Rfam says of the family: Transfer RNA (tRNA) molecules are approximately 80 nucleotides in length. Their secondary structure includes four short double-helical elements and three loops (D, anti-codon, and T loops). Lineage: Bacteria; Bacillati; Bacillota; Clostridia. The record is from RNAcentral.
GCAGGUGUGGCGAAAUUGGCAUACGCGCCAGACUUAGGAUCUGGUGGGCAACCGUGCAGGUUCAAAUCCUGUCACCUGUACCA